RNAcentral lists this transfer RNA (72 nucleotides) under Camelus bactrianus (Bactrian camel). It matches the Rfam family "tRNA". From Rfam's summary of the family: Transfer RNA (tRNA) molecules are approximately 80 nucleotides in length. Their secondary structure includes four short double-helical elements and three loops (D, anti-codon, and T loops). Lineage: Eukaryota; Metazoa; Chordata; Mammalia; Artiodactyla; Camelidae. RNAcentral also lists the same sequence under 2 other names. The record is from Rfam by way of RNAcentral.
GAGGGUAUAGCUCAGUGGUACAGCGCAUGCUUAGCAUGCACGAGGUUCUAGGUUCAAUCCCCAGUACUACCA